CCGGCCGCUGCCAGCGCUGCCCGUCUGGCUGUGCGCCAGAUGAAGCAACGCAUGAGGUCGCUCGGCAUGUGGGACGACGGCGAUGGCCCGGCGACCGACUCGGACGGCAGCGGCACGGACGUGCGCGGGGUGCUGGACAGGGCGCGCCACUUCCUGCACCGGCAGGCGGCGGGCGCCGGCCGGCGACACCCGGCCACGGAGCCGUCGGACUCGGAGGACAUCUCGACGGAUGACGAGGAGCGCUCGGCCACGGAGCGGGAC
Pollicipes pollicipes is the source of this 261-nucleotide long non-coding RNA. RefSeq lists it as uncharacterized. Lineage: Eukaryota; Metazoa; Arthropoda; Thecostraca; Pollicipedomorpha; Pollicipedidae. The transcript is spliced from 3 exons. The record is from RefSeq and is a predicted model, not a curated record.